UAGGGAAUCUUCGGCAAUGGACGGAAGUCUGACCGAGCAACGCCGCGUGAGUGAAGAAGGUUUUCGGAUCGUAAAGCUCUGUUGUAAGAGAAGAACGAGUGUGAGAGUGGAAAGUUCACACUGUGACGGUAUCUUACCAGAAAGGGACGGCUAACUACGUGCCAGCAGCCGCGGUAAUACGUAGGUCCCGAGCGUUGUCCGGAAUUAUUGGGCGUAAAGCGCGCGUAGGCGGUUUUUUAAGUCUGAUGUGAAAGCCCACGGCUCAACCGUGGAGGGUCAUUGGAAACUGGAAAACUUGAGUGCAGAAGAGGAAAGUGGAAUUCCAUGUGUAGCGGUGAAAUGCGCAGAGAUAUGGAGGAACACCAGUGGCGAAGGCGACUUUCUGGUCUGUAACUGACGCUGAUGUGCGAAAGCGUGGGGAUCAAACAGGAUUAGAUACCCUGGUAGUCCACGCCGUAACGAUGAGUGCUAGGUGUUAGACCCUUUCCGGGGUUUAGUGUCGCAGCUAACGCAUUAAGCACUCCGCCUGGGGAGUACGACCGCAAGGUUG
RNAcentral lists this ribosomal RNA (550 nucleotides) under uncultured bacterium. RNAcentral's name for it is "bacterial SSU rRNA". It matches the Rfam family "Bacterial small subunit ribosomal RNA", at positions 355 to 896 of the family's 1533-position model. The record is from RNAcentral.